AACGCAAGUUGCGCCCGAGGCCUCUUGGCCGAGGGCACGCCUGCCUGGGCGUCACGCCAAACACGCUCCCACCCCACUAACCUGGAGCGGGACGCGGCAUGUGGCUCCUCGUCUCGCAAGGGGCGGUGGGCCGAAGAUCCGGCUGCCGGCGUAUCGUGUCGGACCCAGUGCGUGGUAGGCGACCUCGCUUUACUAAACGCAGUGCAGCCGGCGCGUAGCCGACGCGAUGGCCUCAAUGGACCCUUUUAACGGAGUGCAUGACGCUUGGACCGCGACCCCAGGUCAGGCGGGACUACCCGCUGAAUUUA
This 308-nucleotide unclassified non-coding RNA is filed under the name uncultured fungus. Its description in RNAcentral is "partial contains 5.8S rRNA and ITS2". Lineage: Eukaryota; Fungi. The record is from RNAcentral.